CUCAGGUCUCUACUCCAUCCUUUAAACUGCAAUUUCAAGUUUCUUCUUGAUCAUUUUCAUCUCACAAUCUUGUAGUCUUGGCUGUAUAUUGGCCAGAUUUCAUCAGCUAAGGUAGUGGGCUCCCUUUCCUGUUUUGUAUCCUUACCUGCUCAAUAAUCUGACAGGUAUAUGCCUAACAGGCAUAUGUUGCCUAGAUUAAACUGAUAUGAACCCUCCUAUCCCAUUUUCUGCUGUUGCUGCUGCCUCAUCUCUUGACUCUUUAUUCCUUAGGAUGAGUGCCAUAGCUAUGAUUUGUGAUUGACGUGAUGUUACAAUCUCUUAGAUGCAAAGAGAAAAAGUGCCCAGAGGCUCUAACAGGAGCACUUGAGCCAAUGCAGCGAAGCUGGGAGACUGACAGCUGCAAUAGGAGGAAAUGCAACUGCUGGUCUUACAGAGGUACCCAAAGAUU
This 448-nucleotide long non-coding RNA is filed under the name Struthio camelus australis. Its description in RNAcentral is "lncRNA (ENSSCUG00000003916.1)". The record is from RNAcentral. Lineage: Eukaryota; Metazoa; Chordata; Aves; Struthioniformes; Struthionidae.